CGGGCGUAGCAAUACGUCAGCGGCAGACGGGUGAGUAACGCGUGGGAACGUACCUUUUGGUUUCGGAACAACACAGGGAAACUUGUGCUAAUACCGGAUAAGCCCUUACGGGGAAAGAUUUAUCGCCGAAAGAUCGGCCCGCGUCUGAUUAGCUAGUUGGUAGGGUAAUGGCCUACCAAGGCGACGAUCAGUAGCUGGUCUGAGAGGAUGAUCAGCCACAUUGGGACUGAGACACGGCCCAA
This 242-nucleotide ribosomal RNA is filed under the name uncultured bacterium. RNAcentral's name for it is "partial 16S ribosomal RNA". It matches the Rfam family "Bacterial small subunit ribosomal RNA", at positions 67 to 334 of the family's 1533-position model. The record is from RNAcentral.